This 83-nucleotide transfer RNA is filed under the name Streptomyces sp. Act143. It matches the Rfam family "tRNA". From Rfam's summary of the family: Transfer RNA (tRNA) molecules are approximately 80 nucleotides in length. Their secondary structure includes four short double-helical elements and three loops (D, anti-codon, and T loops). Lineage: Bacteria; Bacillati; Actinomycetota; Actinomycetes; Kitasatosporales; Streptomycetaceae. RNAcentral also lists the same sequence under 3 other names. The record is from Rfam by way of RNAcentral.
GCGGCCGUGGUGGAAUGGCAGUCACGCGGCGCUUAGGCCGCCGUGGGAGAAAUCCCGUGUGGGUUCGAAUCCCACCGGCCGCA